GACAGAGGGUGCAAACGUUGUUCGGAAUUACUGGGCGUAAAGCGCGUGUAGGCGGCAUGGCAAGUCGGGUGUGAAAGCCCUGGGCUUAACUUGGGAACUGCGCUCGAAACUACUUGGCUAGAGUGUGGCAGAGGGAGGUGGAAUUCCACGUGUAGCGGUGAAAUGCGUAGAGAUGUGGAGGAACACCGAUGGCGAAGGCGGCAUCCUGGACCAAUAUUGACGCUGAGGAGCGAAAGCCAGGGGAGCAAACGGG
This 253-nucleotide ribosomal RNA is filed under the name uncultured bacterium. RNAcentral's name for it is "partial 16S ribosomal RNA". It matches the Rfam family "Bacterial small subunit ribosomal RNA", at positions 524 to 776 of the family's 1533-position model. The record is from RNAcentral.